Non-coding RNA from Lacerta agilis (Sand lizard), 421 nucleotides. The record is from the annotation of a RefSeq genome assembly. Lineage: Eukaryota; Metazoa; Chordata; Lepidosauria; Squamata; Lacertidae.
UCCUCUGCAUCUCCCCAUGAUGGUGUGGUGCCUUCUCCUUGCCACAGUCUUGGUCUCCGUUGGUCUCAGCACCCAGCAGCUACAGUCUCUGAAACCCUCAGAGGCGGUUCCUCUAGGUGGGACCAUCAGCAUGUCUUGCACGUUUGAUAGCGGAAGCAUCACUGAUAACAACUACCCUCUCUGGAUCCAGCACAAAUUGGGUAAAGCGCCCUGGCUGUUGCUUUACCACACCAGCAAAAGAGCAUCCGGUGUCCCAGCCCGUUUCUCUGGGUCUAGAUCAGGGAAUACGAUGUCGUUGGCCAUCACUGGGGCCUUGCAGGAAGAUGAAACUGAUUAUUUCUGUGCCGUGUGGACAGGGACUCAGCAGCACAGACAUUCAUUCAAAUGGGGGAAGCGAGAAUAAACUACUUUUGCUGUUUUU